CCAAAUGCAGUGAAGGAUUCAGUAGGAGUGGGACCCAGCUUUCAGAGAGCCGGCGGGUGGUGCGAGCCGGCAGUUGACCUGACAUCCGAAUUACCGUCCGGAGCAGCGGAGGGGAAGAGGGAGAACCGGCCAUGGCACGGGUCCCUUGCGUAGCUUCCGAUCGGGCCGACCGCCCGUUAUCCAUGAUGAAGUGAAAGUCCGCCGCCGGACCUGUCAGGGAGACCCCUGUGCAGCCGGGAGGAGGGCUUUAAUUAGGGUGGUACCGCGAGCUGAGCCUUCUCGUCCCUUUG
This 290-nucleotide non-coding RNA is filed under the name Paenibacillus mucilaginosus. RNAcentral describes it as "T-box sequence". It matches the Rfam family "T-box leader". Rfam says of the family: Uncharged tRNA acts as the effector for transcription antitermination of genes in the T-box leader family. T-boxes are found upstream of many aminoacyl-tRNA synthetase genes and some amino acid biosynthetic genes usually in Gram-positive bacteria. The record is from RNAcentral. Lineage: Bacteria; Bacillati; Bacillota; Bacilli; Caryophanales; Paenibacillaceae.